RNAcentral lists this long non-coding RNA (1196 nucleotides) under Marmota monax (woodchuck). The record is from RNAcentral. Lineage: Eukaryota; Metazoa; Chordata; Mammalia; Rodentia; Sciuridae.
GAAUUGAGAUAACACCUUGUAUUUGUGUGUGUGUGUGUGUGUGUGUGUGUGUGUUAAUCAACUUUCUUGCUGCUGUGACUAAAAGACCUUGACUAGAACAAUUGUAGAGGAGGAAAAGUUUAUUUGGGGGCUCAUAGUUUCAGAGGAAGCCACGCCCCCAAUGUCCCCUCCUCCAGCCACACCCACCUCCUCCAGACACAUUCCCCUCCUCCAGCCACCACCCAGUUAAUCCCAUCAGGGGUCCAUUCACUGGUUGGGUUAAGGCUCUCACAACCCAGUCAUGUCUCCUCUGGACCUUCCUGCACCUUCUCACACAUGAGUUGUUGGGGGCACCUCACAUCCCCACCAUAACAGGUACACAAGCUGCUGGAUAAACAAAGCAUGGACAUAUUUCCAUAUGAUUAAUUAUCUUCUACAACCUUAUUUCUAAUGUUUGCACACAAUAUCGCACUAUAACCACUCGAGGUCAUUUUUGCUGAGCCCAGCUCCCUUGGGUGAGCAGUUUGGUUUCUCAGCUCUUUGCUGCGCUGUGCCCCUUCCAGUCGCUGCUUUGGGAAAGGAAGGGGAUGCCCAGAAGGUAGCUGCUGGAACUCAGAAAUGAGGAGGCUACAGGGACAGGAGAAGAUAGACUGCAGAACCAGAGGUCUUGGCCUGCUGUCUGUCCUUCUCUUGCUAGAAGCUGAUCUCAGGCAGAUUAUUGCACUCUUUGGAGACUCGGUGCUCCCCUGACAGUUUUCUCCUAUUAAGGUUAGGGGGUGGUGACAGACAGACAGGCUUCUAGAAUGGGCUCUCAUAAAGGUAAAGAUGCAAACAGCAAAUGUAAUGCUUGCAGCAUGGUGCUUGGUUCUCCGGCAGGGCCCAAGAGUAGCUCUUGUUGCUAAUAUUAUUUUUGUUAUCAGAUCCUGUGUGGUUCCAGAUCUGCAUACUCUGAAAGUAAAGAUCUCGUCAGAGAGCCAUGGUUCUCUGAAUUCAGGGAUAGACAUUUUGAGCUCAAUGUCAAGUGAGUGGCCUACCAUUGCCACUGUCAAUAAUAUGAGCACCAGGACUCACGUGGAGACCCUCAUCAGACCAGAGCAGGAAGUUCUGCUACCAUGGGACAUAUGCAUUCCUAAAAGUCACCAGGGCAGGGUGAUAAACAUGCCAGAGCUUCUGGGAAGUGGCGUUUGACCACUCUGAAAAAUCAUGUAUCAUUUUGU